This 482-nucleotide ribosomal RNA is filed under the name uncultured bacterium. Its description in RNAcentral is "partial 16S ribosomal RNA". It matches the Rfam family "Bacterial small subunit ribosomal RNA", at positions 30 to 507 of the family's 1533-position model. The record is from RNAcentral.
AUUGAACGCUGGCGGCAUGCCUUACACAUGCAAGUCGAACGGUAACAGGUCUUCGGAUGCUGACGAGUGGCGAACGGGUGAGUAAUACAUCGGAACGUGCCCAGACGUGGGGGAUAACGAGGCGAAAGCUUUGCUAAUACCGCAUACGAUCUAAGGAUGAAAGCAGGGGACCGCAAGGCCUUGCGCGUUUGGAGCGGCCGAUGGCAGGUUAGGUAGUUGGUGGGAUAAAAGCUUACCAAGCCGACGAUCUGUAGCUGGUCUGAGAGGACGACCAGCCACACUGGGACUGAGACACGGCCCAGACUCCUACGGGAGGCAGCAGUGGGGAAUUUUGGACAAUGGGCGAAAGCCUGAUCCAGCAAUGCCGCGUGCAGGAUGAAGGCCUUCGGGUUGUAAACUGCUUUUGUACGGAACGAAAAGGCUCUGGCUAAUACCUGGGGCACAUGACGGUACCGUAAGAAUAAGCACCGGCUAACUACGUG